GGGGAUUUAGCUCAGUGGUAGAGCGCUUGCCUAGGGAGCGCAAGGCCCUGGGUUCAGUCCCCA
Rattus norvegicus (Norway rat) is the source of this 63-nucleotide non-coding RNA. The record is from Rfam. Lineage: Eukaryota; Metazoa; Chordata; Mammalia; Rodentia; Muridae.